Molecule: ribosomal RNA, 252 nt
Filed under: uncultured bacterium
Lineage: Bacteria
Description: partial 16S ribosomal RNA
Rfam family: Bacterial small subunit ribosomal RNA
Source: RNAcentral
UACGUAGGGAGCGAGCGUUAUCCGGAUUUAUUGGGCGUAAAGCGCGCGUAGGCGGGCUAUUAAGUCAGGUGUUAAAGCCCGGGGCUCAACCCCGGCCCGCACCUGAAACUGGUAGUCUUGAGUCUGGUAGGGGAAAGUGGAAUUCCCAGUGUAGCGGUGAAAUGCGCAGAUAUUGGGAAGAACACCAGUGGCGAAGGCGGCUUUCUAGGCCACGACUGACGCUGAGGCGCGAAAGCUAGGGGAGCAAACAGG